CUCUGGCCAGCCUUCGGUUAGAGAUGGCCAGAUGGCUCGUUUUAGCCCUUUGGCCCUCCAAGAAAUUAAUAUUUUAAUGAACAGUGCAGAGCCAUAUUUCUUACCAUCUCCAACCGAGGGCUAAAGGACCAUAGAGCUCGUUUUAGCACUGUCACAAAAAACCAUCUCCAAUCGAGGGUCAAGGGGCCAAACAUAAUUUAUUAUUUAAAUUAAAAAAACUACAACAACUUAAAUUUAAAAACUACAACUAAUAUUUAAAAAAUACAACUUAAAUUUAAUAACUGCAAGUAAAAUUUUAAAAAAUACAACUUAUAUAUUUCAAGUCAAAUGUGAGAGGUUUUAUUUAAAGUAUAGAAAAAAAAGAGGGAAGUGGGUGGGAAAGUCCACAUCGGUUGUGGGAGAGGAAGUAGACAAAAAAAAAAAUGGAAGUGGGUGGGAGAGUCCCACAUCGGCUAUGGGAGGGGAAGUAUAAAAAAAAAAAUGGAAGUGGGUGGGAGUCCCACAUCGGCUGUGGGAGAGAUUUGAGCAAGCUCCAAAGCCUAUAAAAAGAACACCCAAACAUUCAACUAAACAUACUCUCUGGGCCUGUAAUUAAAUAUAUAUUUUUUAAAAAUGUUGACCCAAAAAAAAAAAAAAAAAAUCAAAUAACAGUAACUGACGUCAGCUCGCCGAUGGUUUCAAAUUUAUGGCCCGACCUGGGGCUAGCUGGCUGGCUCCUUUGGGCUAGCCGGUUGGCCCUUUUGCCCUUUUUUGUUUGGUGGGGUCCACAAGCCCUUUGGCCUAGCCCUCGGUUGGAGAUGGUUUUUGGGCUAUUUUCGACCCUCUGGACCCUGCGGUUGAAGAUAGCCUAAGAAUUAUAAUUCUUUGAGGACCAAAACGACCCAUCUAACCAGCUUUCAGUUGGGGAUGGCCUUACAUCCCUAGCAACAACAACAACAAUAAAUAUAAAAUUGCUAGAGGAAAACCUAGAGAAACCCCUAGGCUUGAAAAAGCAGAAAAUGGUUUAGAACUCAACCUUUCACCUAUUCAGCCGGAUAUGUGGCCUGAAGCAGUUGAUAAAUGGGAAGACGCACUUAAGCGUGAAUAUGUUAGAUUAACAAAGACUUUCUCCAAAACUGAAGAUUUAUGGGAAUGGGGAGAAUCGUUCUUAGGUCAAGAUUUUAAGAAGGCCUAUGAAAAUUUUAGGUUCAGAUACCCUGAAACUAUACAACACAGGAUAUCUCAAGAUUUAAAUAUAAAUAACUUUGUUAAUACAGUUAGAGAAAUAGCCACCGGUGAUACUAGUCCUUACAGACUUAGUUCACCAAUUCAGAAACGCGCUAUAGACGCUUCAAUAGGAAGAACGUUACUGCUUUUUCUAAAGAGUUUUUAAGACUUGCUAGUAUAGGAGGAGUAGUUUAUGAUAAACCAGUUUGCGUUUUAUAUCUUGCAAAAUUGGUUCAAGAUCUAGGACAAGCAAUUAAGGAUAGAUUUUAUAAAGAAGAAGAAGCAGCUCUAGCAGCAGCAACCACUGACGAACAGCGUAAGAUUUUGAAUACUUUUAAAUAUUCUAAUCUUAGCUAUGUUAUAAGAUUCACCUUUUUGCAGCUUGCUGAUUUCUGCAGACAGCGUUAAGAAAUCCAACAAGCUAAGAAGCUUAUAGACCAAAGUACAUGUAGAGGUUUAUGUCAAGAAGGAUAUAGUGAUCUUCGUGAAAUUAUAUAAAAGAACGAAGAGAAAACAAGUUAGACGUCCAGUUCAAAAAUAAAAUAGAACUACACAACCAUUUAGGCAACCGUUCAACAGACGACCUAAUUUUAGGACGUUUAAGAACAUUAGGCCUAGUCAGAAUUUUAGGAGAAAUUUCAAUCCUAGGAAGCAUGUUAAGAAAUUUAAACCUAACCCUAGGAAACCAUAUAAAAAUAAGUGUGCCAGCUAUAUAUGUAAUAGCGAAGAACAUCUCGCCAAUGUAUGUCCACAGCGAGGUAAGCAACCAGCCUAUAACCAGUUGCUUAAUGAAUGCAUUAUUAUUUCAGCAGAUUCUGAUUAUGACAGUGAUGAUUCUGUUUAUAGUAUUUUCACUGAUGUAGAAUUUAUAGAUGCUCAAGAUGACUCCCUAUCAGAGUUCUCUGGGUAUGACGAUGUACAGCCUGAAGACGAAGAAUAUGAAGACUUCGACUUCUUGCCAAGCGAAUCUGGAGACUUCAAUAUUGAUAGUUUUCAGAACAUGAUAGAUGGCCUGUGAACAUAUAUUCACACCAUAUGAAGGAAGCCUCGAUGAGCGGUGCCGUUUUUGUGGAGGAUGGCCUGGUUACGAGUGUAAGGACAUUCGACUUUUUCUGGAGCAACACAUGAUGCAACGGACGAAUUUUGGGUUAGAGCUCUUCUGUAAUUAUGUUCGGGACAUCUCAAGCUUUAAUUCUAGCCUUUUUGGGCCUGUUUUGGAGCCUUGGAAGUAAAAAAAUGUGGCUGAUUUGUGGCUGGACAGAUUUCCCAAAGUUAGAAUAGGAAUGUAUUUCCUAAUUAUCUUAUUUUAUUAUAUUUUCUAGUUUUUAGAAGACCUGUUCUACUAAGGAUUUUAAUUAUGUAAUAGUAUAAAUAAGGUUUUUUAGCCAUUAGGGUUAGAGGACAAAAAGAGAGGAGAAGAACACAUAAAAUUUUGGAGAACUUUGCUAGGCUUUGAAGAUUUGUAUUUCAAUGUGUUUUCUAUCCUUAUUUUUAAUAAUAUUUUAUUUUAUGAUUGGUAGUAA
Molecule: long non-coding RNA, 2729 nt
Organism: Pyrus x bretschneideri (Chinese white pear)
Lineage: Eukaryota; Viridiplantae; Streptophyta; Magnoliopsida; Rosales; Rosaceae
Exons: 2
Source: RefSeq, a predicted model, not a curated record